UAAAAAUUUGGGCUGGCAGAUAG
RNAcentral lists this non-coding RNA (23 nucleotides) under Cricetulus griseus (Chinese hamster). The record is from RNAcentral. Lineage: Eukaryota; Metazoa; Chordata; Mammalia; Rodentia; Cricetidae.